UGUAUUGUGGAGCUGGAUAGUCUCGACAACGCAAACCGGUGGCAGAGGACGGGUCGGACUCGCUUGAAUCGUCUCAGAGCUGCGUCGGCCUUUCGGACCUGCGAUCGUUGUGUCGUCGUGUGAAGAUGCGUUAGAGUUGUUGGGUGGUGCUGCGUUCACUGCAGCAGCGGCGGCGGCGCUGAUAUUGUUGGGAAACGUCAUCGUCGUGGAGGCUUCGACUUCGCCUUCGGCGUUCGUACAAAACGUCAUCUACUCAACAAGAUUGCCAUCUUCUCCAAUUCCUACUGCCCCUCCUUGCAGUGCUUGUAGCAAUUGUUGGUGUGGGUGCUUUUCUGUGGUGGGCAAGGCAGGAUAUGGUUCAAGACAGUGUAAGGCUACUUCUAUUUUUUCUCUUGCUCACUUCUUAAAGCUCAUAGUUUUCUUCAACUGUGGUAUCAAACAUCUGUUGUUGCCUAGUUAAAACACAACCCAAGUUGUUGAGUGCCUUAAGUUCCAUGCUCUCAAUUUAAUUUCCAUGUUGGCACCUACAA
Prunus dulcis (almond) is the source of this 530-nucleotide long non-coding RNA. RefSeq lists it as uncharacterized. The record is from RefSeq and is a predicted model, not a curated record. Lineage: Eukaryota; Viridiplantae; Streptophyta; Magnoliopsida; Rosales; Rosaceae. The transcript is spliced from 2 exons.